RNAcentral lists this non-coding RNA (148 nucleotides) under Nomascus leucogenys (northern white-cheeked gibbon). The record is from Rfam by way of RNAcentral. Lineage: Eukaryota; Metazoa; Chordata; Mammalia; Primates; Hylobatidae.
GCCGGGCAUGGUGGCGCAUGCCUGUAGUCCCAGCUACUAGGGAAGCUAAGGUGGGAGCAUCACUUGAGCCUAGGAGGUUGAGACUGCAGUGAGCUGUGAUUGCGCCACUGCAGUCUAGCCUGGGCAACAGAGCAAGACCCUGUCUCAA